GAUGAACGCUGGCGGCGUGCCUAAUACAUGCCAGUCGAGCGAACAGACGAGGAGCUUGCUCCUCUGACGUUAGCGGCGGACGGGUGAGUAACACGUGGAUAACCUACCUAUAAGACUGGGAUAACUUCGGGAAACCGGAGCUAAUACCGGAUAAUAUAUUGAACCGCAUGGUUCAAUAGUGAAAGACGGUUUUGCUGUCACUUAUAGAUGGAUCCGCGCCGCAUUAGCUAGUUGGUAAGGUAACGGCUUACCAAGGCAACGAUGCGUAGCCGACCUGAGAGGGUGAUCGGCCACACUGGAACUGAGACACGGUCCAGACUCCUACGGGAGGCAGCAGUAGGGAAUCUUCCGCAAUGGGCGAAAGCCUGACGGAGCAACGCCGCGUGAGUGAUGAAGGUCUUCGGAUCGUAAAACUCUGUUAUUAGGGAAGAACAAAUGUGUAAGUAACUAUGCACGUCUUGAUGGUACCUAAUCAGAAAGCCACGGCUAACUACGUG
RNAcentral lists this ribosomal RNA (497 nucleotides) under uncultured bacterium. Its description in RNAcentral is "partial 16S ribosomal RNA". It matches the Rfam family "Bacterial small subunit ribosomal RNA", at positions 28 to 507 of the family's 1533-position model. The record is from RNAcentral.